Hevea brasiliensis (rubber tree) is the source of this 520-nucleotide long non-coding RNA. RefSeq lists it as uncharacterized. The transcript has 2 exons. The record is from RefSeq and is a predicted model, not a curated record. Lineage: Eukaryota; Viridiplantae; Streptophyta; Magnoliopsida; Malpighiales; Euphorbiaceae.
CUCUAAAACUCUAAAUGGUUACAAAUAAGGCAAAUGCCAGAGACCAUUUUACAAACCGCCUCUUAUCUUUGCAGCAUCAGUAAAUUAAAAGUAUCGACUGGGUAUACAAAGUGUCGGCUAUGGUUCAAUUUUGGUGAUUUCCGUUGACACUUAUCAAUCUCUAAGGCAUCGAUAGUCAAAGUAUUCAUCAUUUGUGGUAUUUUUAUGGUACUCAUCAUUCUAUCGGUACUCAAUAUAAUUUUAAUUUUAUUUUUAUUUUUAUAUUGUGGUUCAGUUCUGCUUGUAUUCAUUUGGGUACACACAAAGUAAUAUCUGUGGUUCAACUUUGGUGAUUUCCGCUGGUACUCAUCAGUGUCUAAGGCAUCGAUGGUCUGGUUAUUCAUCACUGGUGGUGAUUUAUGCUAUAAUGGUCAUUCUACUGGUACGCUAUUUAAUUCCAUAUUGAUGGUUUCUAUAUUAUUUUCGCUUAUGUUUUAUGAAUGCUUGGCUGAAACUUAAUGGGUAUUGUCUGAUUUGAUCU